This 194-nucleotide ribosomal RNA is filed under the name uncultured Lactococcus sp. RNAcentral's name for it is "partial 16S ribosomal RNA". It matches the Rfam family "Bacterial small subunit ribosomal RNA", at positions 338 to 524 of the family's 1533-position model. The record is from RNAcentral. Lineage: Bacteria; Bacillati; Bacillota; Bacilli; Lactobacillales; Streptococcaceae.
CCUAGGGGAGGCAGCAGUAGGGAAUCUUCGGCAAUGGACGAAAGUCUGACCGAGCAACGCCGCGUGAGUGAAGAAGGUUUUCGGAUCGUAAAACUCUGUUGGUAGAGAAGAACGUUGGUGAGAGUGGAAAGCUCAUCAAGUGACGGUAACUACCCAGAAAGGGACGGCUAACUACGUGCCAGCAGCCGCGUAAU